UNUGACUUGAGUGCAGAAGGGGAGAGUGGAAUUCCAUGUGUAGCGGUGAAAUGCGCAGAUAUAUGGAGGAACACCAGUGGCGAAAGCGGCUCUCUGGUCUGUCACUGACGCUGAGGCUCGAAAGCGUGGGUAGCGAACAGGAUUAGAUACCCUGGUAGUCCACGCCGUAAACGAUGAGUGCUAGGUGUUAGGCCCUUUCCGGGGCUUAGUGCCGGAGCUAACGCAAUAAGCACUCCGCCUGGGGAGUACGACCGCAAGGUUGAAACUCAAAGGAAUUGACGGGGGCCCGCACAAGCGGUGGAGCAUGUGGUUUAAUUCGAAGCAACGCGAAGAACCUUACCAGGUCUUGACAUCCCGAUGCUAUUCUUAGAGAUAGGAAGUUACUUCGGUACAUCGGAGACAGGUGGUGCAUGGUUGUCGUCAGCUCGUGUCGUGAGAUGUUGGGUUAAGUCCCGCAACGAGCGCAACCCUUAUUGUUAGUUGCCAUCAUUAAGUUGGGCACUCUAGCGAGACUGCCGGUAAUAAACCGGAGGAAGGUGGGGAUGACGUCAAAUCAUCAUGCCCCUUAUGACCUGGGCUACACACGUGCUACAAUGGUCGGUACAACGAGUUGCGAGCCGGUGACGGCAAGCUAAUCUCUGAAAGCCGAUCUCAGUUCGGAUUGGAGGCUGCAACUCGCCUCCAUGAAGUCGGAAUCGCUAGUAAUCGCGGAUCAGCACGCCGCGGUGAAUACGUUCCCGGGCCUUGUACACACCGCCCGUCACACCACGAGAGUUUGUAACACCCGAAGUCGGUGAGGUAACCUUUUAGGGGCCAG
This 817-nucleotide ribosomal RNA is filed under the name uncultured bacterium. RNAcentral's name for it is "bacterial SSU rRNA". It matches the Rfam family "Bacterial small subunit ribosomal RNA", at positions 636 to 1452 of the family's 1533-position model. The record is from RNAcentral.